AGUGAACGCUGGCGGUAGGCCUAACACAUGCAAGUCGAACGGCAGCACAGUAAGAGCUUGCUCUUACGGGUGGCGAGUGGCGGACGGGUGAGGAAUACAUCGGAAUCUACUUUUUCGUGGGGGAUAACGUAGGGAAACUUACGCUAAUACCGCAUACGACCUACGGGUGAAAGCAGGGGAUCUUCGGACCUUGCGCGAUUGAAUGAGCCGAUGUCGGAUUAGCUAGUUGGCGGGGUAAAGGCCCACCAAGGCGACGAUCCGUAGCUGGUCUGAGAGGAUGAUCAGCCACACUGGAACGGAGACACGGUCCGGACUCCUACGGGAGGCAGCAGUGGGGAAUAUUGGACAAUGGGCGCAAGCCUGAUCCAGCCAUACCGCGUGGGUGAAGAAGGCCUUCGGGUUGUAAAGCCCUUUUGUUGGGAAAGAAAAGCAGCAGGUUAAUACCCCGCUGUUCUGACGGUACCCAAAGAAUAAGCACCGGCUAACUUCGUG
RNAcentral lists this ribosomal RNA (492 nucleotides) under uncultured bacterium. RNAcentral describes it as "partial 16S ribosomal RNA". It matches the Rfam family "Bacterial small subunit ribosomal RNA", at positions 29 to 507 of the family's 1533-position model. The record is from RNAcentral.